RNAcentral lists this long non-coding RNA (1629 nucleotides) under Mus musculus (house mouse). RNAcentral's name for it is "long non-coding RNA chr1:144950027-144951656". The record is from RNAcentral. Lineage: Eukaryota; Metazoa; Chordata; Mammalia; Rodentia; Muridae.
GUGACCCUAAAAAUUCCACCAGAGAACUCCUAAACCUGAUAAACAGUUUGAGUGAAGUAGCUGGAUAUAAAAUUAACUCAAACAAGUCAAUGGCCUUUCUCUACUCAAAGAAUAAACAGGCUGAGAAAGAAAUUAGGGAAACAACACCCUUCUCAAUAGUCACAAAUAAUAUAAAAUACCUUGGUGUAACUCUAACUAAGGAAGUAAAAGAUCUGUAUGAUAAGAACUUCAAGUCUCUGAAGAAAGAAAUUAAAGAGAUCUCAGAAGAUGGAAAGAUCUCCCUUGCUCAUGGAUUGGCAGGAUCAAAAUAGUGAAAAUAGCUAUCUUGCCAAAAGCAAUCUACAGAUUCAAUGCAAUCCCCAUCAAAAUUCCAACUCAAUUCUUCAACGAAUUAGAAAGGGCAAUCUGCAAAUUCAUCUGGAAUAACAAAAAACCUAGGAUAGCAAAAACUCUUCUCAAGGAUAAAAGAACAUCUGGUGGAAUCACCAUGCCUGACCUAAAGCUGUACUACAGAGCAAUUAUGAUAAAAACUGCAUGGUAGUGGUAUAGUGACAGACAAGUAGACAAAUGGAAUAGAAUUGAAGACCCAGAAAUGAACCCACACACCUAUGGUCACUUGAUCUUUGACAAGGGAGCUAAAACCAUCCAGUGGAAAAAAGACAGCAUUUUCAACAAAUGGUGCUGGCACAACUGGUGGUUAACAUGUAGAAGAAUAUGAAUUGAUCCAUCCCUAUAUCCUUGUACUAAGGUCAAAUCUAAGUGGAUCAAGGGAUGCCACAUAAAACCAGAGACAGUGAAACUUAUAUAGGAGAAAGUGGGGAAAAGCCUCGAAGACAUGUGCACAGGGGAAAAAUUCCUGAAUAGAACAGCAAUGGCUUGUGCUGUAAGAUCGAGAAUCGACAAAUGGGACCUCAUAAAAUUGCAAAGCUUUUGUAAGGCAAAAAACACUCACAAUAAGACAAAAAGGCCACCAACAGAUUGGGAAAGGAUCUUUACCUAUCCUAAAUCAGAUAGGGGACUAAUAUCCAAUAUAUAUAAAGAACUCAAGAAGGUGGAGUCUGAAAACCCCAUUAAAAAUGGGGUGCAGAGCUUAACAAAGAAUUCUCACCUGAGGAAUACCGAAUGGCAGAGAAGCACCUGAAAUAAUGUUCAGCAUCCUUAAUCAUCAGGGAAAUGCAAAUCAAAACAACCCUGAGAUUUCACCUCACACCAGUCAGAACAGCUAAGAUCAAAUAUUCAGGUGAAGCAGAUGCUGGCAAGGAUGUGGAGAAAGAGGAACACUCCUCCAUUGUUGGUGGGAUUGCAAGCUUGUACAACUACUCUGGAAAUCAAUCUGGUGGUUUCUCAGAAAAUUGGACAUAGUACUACUGGAGGAUCCCGCAAUACCUCUCCUGGGCAUAUAUCCAGAAGAUGUUCCAACUGGUAAGAAAGAUACAUGCUCCACUAUGUUCAUAGCAGCCUUAUUUAUAAUAGAUAGAAGCUGGAAAGAACCCAGAUGUUCCUCAACAGAGGAAUGGAAACAGAAAAUGUAGUAUAUUUACACAAUGGAGUACUACUCAGCUAUUAAAAAGGAUGAAUUUAUGAAAUUCCUAGGCAAAUGGUUGGACCUGGAGGGCAUCAUCCUGAGUG